GGCAAAAGCUCAAAUUUGAAAUCUGGUACCUUCGGUGCCCGAGUUGUAAUUUGGAGAGGGCAACUUUGGGGCCGUUCCUUGUCUAUGUUCCUUGGAACAGGACGUCAUAGAGGGUGAGAAUCCCGUGUGGCGAGGAGUGCGGUUCUUUGUAAAGUGCCUUCGAAGAGUCGAGUUGUUUGGGAAUGCAGCUCUAAGUGGGUGGUAAAUUCCAUCUAAAGCUAAAUAUUGGCGAGAGACCGAUAGCGAACAAGUACAGUGAUGGAAAGAUGAAAAGAACUUUGAAAAGAGAGUGAAAAAGUACGUGAAAUUGUUGAAAGGGAAGGGCAUUUGAUCAGACAUGGUGUUUUGUGCCCUCUGCUCCUUGUGGGUAGGGGAAUCUCGCAUUUCACUGGGCCAGCAUCAGUUUUGGUGGCAGGAUAAAUCCAUAGGAAUGUAGCUUGCCUCGGUAAGUAUUAUAGCCUGU
Molecule: ribosomal RNA, 463 nt
Filed under: Saccharomyces cerevisiae (brewer's yeast)
Lineage: Eukaryota; Fungi; Ascomycota; Saccharomycetes; Saccharomycetales; Saccharomycetaceae
Description: partial large subunit ribosomal RNA
Rfam family: Eukaryotic large subunit ribosomal RNA
Source: RNAcentral